Molecule: long non-coding RNA, 1558 nt
Filed under: Heterocephalus glaber (naked mole-rat)
Lineage: Eukaryota; Metazoa; Chordata; Mammalia; Rodentia; Bathyergidae
Description: lncRNA (ENSHGLG00100033680.1)
Source: RNAcentral
CAUCAGUGGCGCUGGCUCUCUUCAUCCGCCAGAUGUGCCCUUAAGCUGCUCUCUACUUGAAGGAAGAGGUCAGGGAUGACAAGAACCCAGCACGGUGGCACCGUUACAGGAAGGGAGCAUUGGGGAAGUCAGCCGAGGAGAAACAGGGAUAAUCAAAUAAAUGUGCUAUGUUGGACACUGUGACGGGAAGAAGAUGGAAGAGAGAGGAUGUGAGCAUGUAUAUUUGAAGACGAGGGAAAGAGUGGCUGUGGCAGAAAAAUCAACUCGUACACUGAGUGAGUCAUGUGCAGUUUUCCGGAGUACACAGACUCUUCACCUAUGGUUGGAUUCCCAGGGGACCAUGGUUCCUAAGGUAAGGAUUCCUAGUGGAGGGUUGUGGAGCUCACCUAUCCCAGCCCUUGGGAAGCUGAGGCAGGAGGAUUGCUGCGAGUUCGAGGCCAACCUGGGCUACAUAGUGAGUUCAAGUCCAGUCUGAAUUGCGUAGUGAGAACUUGUUGCAAAAUGACCAAAGUGUGUGGGGGGGAAGAAUUCCUGAUGCAAGCAGUCCCUAAAGUACAGAAACUAUUGGUGUCGAGAGCCAUCUAGCAUGUUCACAGAGCCAGGAACUCUGGGAGUUUUAGAAGCAGAAGCCAUGUUUUCUCUGGAGUUCCUAGCUCUGCUGUGGGCUGAUCUGGAAGGCUGUAAGGGCCAGCUUUAGUGCUAAAGCAGUGGGUGUUGCGUUAUGCACCUGCAUUUACCCCCCCCCCCCACACUUGGCCGGAGUGAGUGAUGUACUUCUGCGGGGAACUCAUAUUUUUAAAAUUUCCACUGGCGACUCCGCUGCCUGUGACGUGUCCCCCAGUGCCUCAGGAUGUCAUUUUCGGGCGUCCCCUCCGCCCUUGGCACAGACUCCCACAGGCCCCCGACGAACUCGGAUGGAUCUUCGCCCUGGCCAGGAGCCCAGCCUAAGAGCCAGCCCGGACAGCGCUGCCCCUCCCCUCCAAGCGACAGCAUUGUGAAGACUGGAGAGCAAAACGGGUCGCCCACAAGGAAACUCCAGAAAGCGGGCAGUCAGAAGUGCUGCAGGGAGCACUUCCGGCACAGCCUCUGCGGGCGGUCAGAGGUGCGGGCGGUCAGAGGUGCGGCCUGGGGUCGCCGGCGGACUGUUCCCAUGCUUGUGAGUGUCGGGUUGUAGGAGUGGAGCAGCUUCUAGGAGUAGUGACUGGGUUGGUAUGACAGCCAGGGCUCUCACCUUUGAACCUCAAGUGAGUCCCUCCCUGAGGACCAAGCUGGGAGACCCAAGAAACACACUGGGCACCGCCCCUCUCUUGGCCGCUCCCACUUGAAUCAAGGCCACCAAGACCCUUUUCUCACCUGGAAAGGGCAAUCAGGCAGAUCUGAAGAUGGCCGUGCUGCUAGAGGAAAGUCUGCACGCCGCAGACUCAGCAGCACCACCCGCUUCACAGACCUCUGUACCUCCCAGGAAGUCUCUUACCGCCAACAGUUUCUCACCUCCUCUGUCUGGGUAUCGGGUCAGUCUCUUCAGAAAUAAACCGUGAAUGGUGUUUGUGACAGAGAA